GAGAGUGACCUUUCAAAACAAAUCUGAAGCAAUGUUAAAUUAUUUCUUUAUUUUCAAUAAGUAGGUUAUUUGUGAUUAUUACAAGAAUCAGUGAACAGUUAUAAGGUUAUAUCGAGUUUAAUUAGUAAAAAAUGGAUUGUAAAUUACUUAUAUUGUUUUUUUGUGUGCUCAUAUUAAAAAUGUUGUUUAAUGGCGUUGAUUCACGAAGUUUACCUCAAAAUCGUGAUAGGAAUAUACCAUGUGGAGACGAUUUCAUACAGAUAAACGAUGAUUGUUACAAAUUGUGAUAAAUAAAAAUAAAAAUAAUGGACUUUCUUCACCUACUUCAUGAUAACUACAGCAGUUACUACUUAGUAUUUACUUGCUUGAAUAUAAUAUAAUAUAAGUUAAAUGCUAAUCCAUGUUUAUCAAAUAAAGAUUAACAAAAAAUAA
Long non-coding RNA from Diorhabda carinulata, 432 nucleotides. RefSeq lists it as uncharacterized. The record is from RefSeq and is a predicted model, not a curated record. The transcript has 2 exons. NCBI's taxonomy places the organism in Eukaryota, Metazoa, Arthropoda, Insecta, Coleoptera, Chrysomelidae.